Homo sapiens (human) is the source of this 363-nucleotide long non-coding RNA. Ensembl annotates it as XG Y-linked 2 (pseudogene). Its record names the gene XGY2. The record is from Ensembl. Lineage: Eukaryota; Metazoa; Chordata; Mammalia; Primates; Hominidae.
CCCUGUCUUGCGUUCCUGUGUUUUCUAAUGCACGCCCGAGGUCAAAGAGACUUUGAUUUGGCAGAUGCCCUUGAUGACCCUGAACCCACCAAGAAGCCAAACUCAGGUGAGUGUCUCUUCAGCUGGGAAAAACUGAGGCAACGUCCUUGAACUGAUGCUUACGGAGGGGAUGGUUGAGGAUGUUUUACAGAACUGUGGGGUAUAUGAAAGAGAUGCAACAACUGUACCAGAUAGCAGAUAUUGAAAGCAAAAUGUGGUGAUUAGGGAAAUGCAAAUCACAACCACAGUGAAGCACCACUUCGUCCCCACUGAGAUGGCUAAAAUCUAAAAUGGAAAAUAACAAGUGUUGGCAAGGAUGUGAUG